AACGAACACUGGCGGCAUGCCUAACACAUGCCAGUCGAACGAGACCUUCGGGUCUAGUGGCGCACGGGUGCGUAACGCGUGGGAACCUGCCCUUAGGUUCGGAAUAACUCCCCGAAAGGGGUGCUAAUACCGGAUAAUGUCUUCGGACCAAAGAUUUAUCGCCUUUGGAUGGGCCCGCGUUGGAUUAGCUAGUUGGUAGGGUAAAAGCCUACCAAGGCGACGAUCCAUAGCUGGUCUGAGAGGAUGAUCAGCCACACUGGGACUGAGACACGGCCCAGACUCCUACGGGAGGCAGCAGUGGGGAAUAUUGGACAAUGGGCAAAAGCCUGAUCCAGCAAUGCCGCGUGAGUGAUGAAGGCCUUAGGGUUGUAAAGCUCUUUUACCCGGGAUGAUAAUGACAGUACCGGGAGAAUAAGCUCCGGCUAACUCCGUG
Molecule: ribosomal RNA, 433 nt
Filed under: uncultured bacterium
Lineage: Bacteria
Description: partial 16S ribosomal RNA
Rfam family: Bacterial small subunit ribosomal RNA
Source: RNAcentral